UGCCAGACUCCUACGGGAGGCAGCAGUGGGGAAUAUUGCACAAUGGGGGAAACCCUGAUGCAGCAACGCCGCGUGAGUGAAGAAGUCUUUCGGUAUGUAAAGCUCUCUCAGCAGGGAAGAAGAUGACGGUACCUGAGUAAGAAGCCCCGGCUAACUACGUGCCAGCAGCCGCGGUAAUACGUAGGGGGCAAGCGUUAUCCGGAUUUACUGGGUGUAAAGGGAGCGUAGACGGCUGCGCAAGUCUGAAGUGAAAGCCCGGGGCUCAACCCCGGGACUGCUUUGGAAACUGUGUAGCUAGAGUGCUGGAGAGGCAAGCGGAAUUCCUAGUGUAGCGGUGAAAUGCGUAGAUAUUAGGAAGAACACCAGUGGCGAAGGCGGCUUGCUGGACAGUAACUGACGUUGAGGCUCGAAAGUGUGGGGAGCAAACAGGAUUAGAUACCCUAGUAA
This 447-nucleotide ribosomal RNA is filed under the name uncultured bacterium. Its description in RNAcentral is "bacterial SSU rRNA". It matches the Rfam family "Bacterial small subunit ribosomal RNA", at positions 329 to 793 of the family's 1533-position model. The record is from RNAcentral.